AUCCAGCUGACGAGUUUCAAAUAUAACGAAACGCGCGUCCUGGAU
This is a non-coding RNA of Schistosoma curassoni, 45 nucleotides long. The record is from Rfam. NCBI's taxonomy places the organism in Eukaryota, Metazoa, Platyhelminthes, Trematoda, Strigeidida, Schistosomatidae.